GAUGAACGCUGGCGGCGUGCCUAACACAUGCAAGUCGAGCGAUCUCUUCGGAGAGAGCGGCGGACGGGUGAGUAACGCGUGGGUAACCUGCCCUGUACACACGGAUAACAUACCGAAGGGUAUACUAAUACGGGAUAACAUAUGAAAGUCGCAUGGCUUUUAUAUCAAAGCUCCGGCGGUACAGGAUGGACCCGCGUCUGAUUAGCUAGUUGGUAAGGUAAUGGCUUACCAAGGCAACGAUCAGUAGCCGACCUGAGAGGGUGAUCGGCCACACUGGAACUGAGACACGGUCCAGACUCCUACGGGAGGCAGCAGUGGGGAAUAUUGCACAAUGGGCGAAAGCCUGAUGCAGCAACGCCGCGUGAGCGAUGAAGGCCUUCGGGUCGUAAAGCUCUGUCCUCAAGGAAGAUAAUGACGGUACUUGAGGAGGAAGCCCCGGCUAACUACGUGCCAGCCGCCGCCGUAA
This 466-nucleotide ribosomal RNA is filed under the name uncultured bacterium. RNAcentral's name for it is "partial 16S ribosomal RNA". It matches the Rfam family "Bacterial small subunit ribosomal RNA", at positions 28 to 523 of the family's 1533-position model. The record is from RNAcentral.